CACGGAGGAUGCGAGCGUUAUCCGGAUUUAUUGGGUUUAAAGGGUGCGCAGGCGGUCUGUUAAGUCAGCGGUCAAAGCCCGGGGCUCAACCCCGGCCCGCCGUUGAAACUGGCAGUCUCGAGUUGGAGAGAAGUAUGCGGAAUGCGCGGUGUAGCGGUGAAAUGCAUAGAUAUCGCGCAGAACUCCGAUUGCGAAGGCAGCAUGCCGGCUCCACACUGACGCUGAGGCACGAAAGCGUGGGUAUCGAACAGG
This 252-nucleotide ribosomal RNA is filed under the name uncultured bacterium. Its description in RNAcentral is "partial 16S ribosomal RNA". It matches the Rfam family "Bacterial small subunit ribosomal RNA", at positions 524 to 776 of the family's 1533-position model. The record is from RNAcentral.